RNAcentral lists this ribosomal RNA (253 nucleotides) under uncultured bacterium. Its description in RNAcentral is "partial 16S ribosomal RNA". It matches the Rfam family "Bacterial small subunit ribosomal RNA", at positions 524 to 776 of the family's 1533-position model. The record is from RNAcentral.
UACGUAGGGUGCAAGCGUUAAUCGGAAUUACUGGGCGUAAAGCGUGCGUAGACGGUUAUGUAAGUCGGGUGUGAAAGCCCCGGGCUCAACCUGGGAAUUGCAUUCGAGACUGUGUAGCUAGGGUACGGAAGAGGGAAGCGGAAUUUCAGGUGUAGCGGUGAAAUGCGUAGAUAUCUGAAGGAACACCAGUGGCGAAAGCGGCUUCCUGGUCCAGUACCGACGUUCAGGCACGAAAGCGUGGGGAGCAAACAGG